UACGUAGGCAGCAAGCGUUGUUCGGAGUUACUGGGCGUAAAGGGCGCGUAGGCGGCUUUUUAAGUUUGGUGUGAAAUCUCCCGGCUCAACUGGGAGGGUGCGCCGAAUACUGAGAAGCUAGAGUGUGGAAGAGGAGAGUGGAAUUCCUGGUGUAGCGGUGAAAUGCGCAGAUAUCAGGAGGAACACCCGUGGCGAAAGCGGCUCUCUGGGACGGUACUGACGCUGAGACGCGAAAGCGUGGGGAGCAAACAGG
This 253-nucleotide ribosomal RNA is filed under the name uncultured bacterium. RNAcentral's name for it is "partial 16S ribosomal RNA". It matches the Rfam family "Bacterial small subunit ribosomal RNA", at positions 524 to 776 of the family's 1533-position model. The record is from RNAcentral.